AUACAGUGAGUGCAAAUGAGGUAAGUUAAGGCAAUAAAUAGGCCAUGGUGGCAAAGUAGUUACAAUAUAGCAAUUAAACACUGGAAUGGUAGAUGUGCAGAAGAUGGAUGUGCAAGUAGAGAUACUGGGGUGCAAAGGAGCAAGAUAAAUACAGUAUGGGGAUGAGGUAGGUAGAUAGAUGGGCUAUGUGCAGUGAUCUGUGAGCUGCUCUGACAGCUGGUGCUUAAAGCUAGUGAGGGAGAUGGGAGUCUCCAGCUUCAGAGAUUUUUGCAGUUCGUUCCAGUCAUUGGCAGCAGAGUACUGGAAGGAAAGGCGGCCAAAGGAGGAAUUGGCUUUGGGGGUGACAGUGAGAUAUACCUGCUGGAGCGCAUGCUACGAGUGGGUGCUGCUAUGGUGACCAGUGAGCUGAGAUAAGGCGGGGCUUUACCUAGCAGAGACUUGUAGAUGACCUGUAGCCAGUGGGUUUGGCGACGAGUAUGAAGCGAGGGCCAACUAACGAGAGCGUACAGGUCGCAAUGGUGGGUAGUGUAUGGGGCUUUGGUGACAAAACGGAUGGCACUGUGAUAGACUGCAUGAUGAUGUUUGUAAACUACUUUUAGGCUGGUAGCAAGGCCCACACACGGAGAUGAUCCUACCUGAGGUAGAACAAAAAUCAACCAAGUCACAUCUCUCAUUUAUCAAAUGGAUGGUUCUGUAAAAAUAUUGAGGUUCAGUGGUUGUUGGUAGAUCUAGUCUUUUGCGACCUCUCUUGGAAAGAUGUGGUAAUGUAUUUAGUGUGACUUCAUGGAAAGAGUGUAUUUAGUGACCUCUGUUUGAAAGACGUGGUAGUGUUUUAAUUGUGACUUCUUGGAAAGAGGUAGUUGUAGCCUUACUGUCCCCAGCACAAGGUGCACCUCUGUAAUGAUCAUGCCGUUUAAUCAGCUUCUUGAUAUACCACACCUGUCAGGUGGAUGGAUUAUCUUGGCAAAGGAGAAAUGCUCACUAACAAGGAUGUGCACAACAUUUGAGAGAAAUAAGCUUUGUCUGGAAUCUUUUUUCAGCUCAAGAAACAUGGGACCAACACUUCACAUGUUUGUGUUUUAUGUUAAACAACUUAUAAUAAAACUAAAUAAACAAAAGAAAUUGGUUCCAAACUGUUUCCACUGGACAGUUCUCACCACCAGGGGUCAGAAGUGAUAUGGAAGUGGAUGAUAUUCACGUCAACAGACUAUAGAGGAACAUAGGACCAAAGGAUUUCUCACAUGUUCCCAAAACAGGUGGCUAGUUGAUAUGUCCCUAACAUCCACAGCAAUACCAUCUCAUCCUGUUCCAUUUAGUU
This 1318-nucleotide long non-coding RNA is filed under the name Salmo salar (Atlantic salmon). Its description in RNAcentral is "lncRNA (ENSSSAG00000097639.1)". Lineage: Eukaryota; Metazoa; Chordata; Actinopteri; Salmoniformes; Salmonidae. The record is from RNAcentral.